This 619-nucleotide long non-coding RNA is filed under the name Zostera marina. RNAcentral describes it as "long non-coding RNA (ZMAR_LNC001203)". The record is from RNAcentral. Lineage: Eukaryota; Viridiplantae; Streptophyta; Magnoliopsida; Alismatales; Zosteraceae.
CUGACCCUCUUACACAUUUCAUUCGAAUGUUUGAUAACGGCUUUAAUGACAUCAAAUGCAUCUAUAGUGUCAUGGAAUGAAUCAAACGAUUUUAUGAAAUUCGAAAUGACCUGGGAAAAUUGGUUUCUCCCUGAAACUAUAUACCUAUUUCGUGCCGUUCUUAUGGAAGUUACAGUGACAGAAAAUACACAGUCAUCUCAUCUUCAACAUCAUCAAGAGCUAGCAUGACAUCUUUCGUCCCCAAGCUAAUUUCAAACACCGACCAACAAUACAGUUCCAUAACGUCGACGGAGAAUACUAUCAAAAUGAUCACAAAUCACGGCGUUCACAUCAACAAACAAGUAUUGAGAAAAUUAUAGAGAAGUUAUAUCCAUACUUAUAUGGUGAAGCUCAAAAAACAACAUUAUCAGAAUCUUUGUCUGUAUCAGUUAAAUUAAACUAUGAAUUAUUAGUUUCACCUGAGAUGUUUUUGAAAGAGAACAAUAAACUUAUGAAGAAAGAUUUGAAGUACAGAAUAGUCGCAUCUACUAAAAUUUUCUUCUGGGGCGAUGAUGUUGAUGAUGAUGGCAAUAACAAUGAUCAGAAAAUGUGUGUAAUAUGUUUAAAUGACAUCAAAGAG